GAUGAACGCUAGCGGCAGGCCUAAUACAUGCAAGUCGAACGGUGUAGCAAUACAUAGUGGCGCACGGGUGCGUAACACGUAUGCAACCUACCUUAUACUGGGGGAUAGCCUUUGGAAACGGAGAUUAAUACCCCAUAGUACAUUUGAUUGGCAUCAAUUGAAUGUGAAAGAUUUAUCGGUAUAAGCUGGGGAUGCGUCCAAUUAGUUAGUUGGUGAGGUAACGGCUCACCAAGACUUUGAUUGGUAGGGGAACUGAGAGGUUAAUCCCCCACACUGGCACUGAGAUACGGGCCAGACUCCUACGGGAGGCAGCAGUAGGGAAUAUUGGGCAAUGGAGGCAACUCUGACCCAGCCAUGCCGCGUGCAGGAAGAAGGCGUUAUGCGUUGUAAACUGCUUUUAUAUAGGAAGAAAUAGUCCUUGCGAGGAAAGUUGACGGUACUAUAUGAAUAAGCACCGGCUAACUCCGUGCCAGCCGCCGCGGUAA
This 485-nucleotide ribosomal RNA is filed under the name uncultured bacterium. Its description in RNAcentral is "partial 16S ribosomal RNA". It matches the Rfam family "Bacterial small subunit ribosomal RNA", at positions 28 to 523 of the family's 1533-position model. The record is from RNAcentral.